This 315-nucleotide ribosomal RNA is filed under the name uncultured bacterium. Its description in RNAcentral is "bacterial SSU rRNA". It matches the Rfam family "Bacterial small subunit ribosomal RNA", at positions 192 to 507 of the family's 1533-position model. The record is from RNAcentral.
GUUAUUCAACUAAAGAUUUAUCGGUAACGGAUAGGGAUGCGUGACAUUAGAUAGUAGGCGGGGUAACGGCCCACCUAGUCUACGAUGUCUAGGGGUUCUGAGAGGAAGGUCCCCCACACUGGUACUGAGAUACGGACCAGACUCCUACGGGAGGCAGCAGUGAGGAAUAUUGGUCAAUGGUCGGAAGACUGAACCAGCCAUGCCGCGUGCAGGAAGAAUGUCUUAUGGAUUGUAAACUGCUUUUGUAUGGGGCUAAUAAUAACUUUGCGAAGUUAGAUGCAGGUACCAUACGAAUAAGGAUCGGCUAACUCCGUG